AUCCCUCCCAAAUUAUGAAAGUCACAAGUACAGAGUUGUUCUAACAAAAGAAUACAAGUCCCAAAAGUAGUUCAAUAGCAAGCUUGUCUCAAAAUACAAAAAACUAGAUAUACAAUAUACAAAGGAGACAUGCUAGUCUAGAACGUCGAGUGCUCACCCUCACCUUCGAUCCACAAAAGUUGUUGCAGGCAUGAACGGUCAUCACUGGUAACUGGUACUAGGGCCUGCAUCACGAAACAGAUGCACAAUGUAGCAUGAGUACCAAAACAAAGGUACUUAGUAGGCAUCAUAGGUUGACUGAGAAAGAAAGGUAAAAGACAAUAUGAAAAUAUAGAAUCUAAACACAAAUAGAGGUCAAAGCAAAAUUUAAGGAAAAGCACACGAGCGUACCAGAAAUAAAAACUAAGUACAACUAAGCUAAACCUAACUGGACCCCCAUAAGCCUAGAAGGUACACUCGUGCGCAAGUUUAAGUAAAACCCGAACGGACCUCCAUAAGACCAACAUGUACACAGAAUAGCUAGCUAAUAAGACUGAAGCAUGGUGAAUCCAUGUCCAAUAAGUGAAAACUUGCCUCUAACCACAAGUACCCAAUGAAAAGGGCCGCCUAGCAAGCUAGUAAACUCCUACGGACUUCAGCUGCCUAGCUAGCAAGAGUUAACCCAAGGGAGUCAAUAAUACCAAACCUCUUACCCUAAGUAACCAAUCAAGGCCACCCAGCCAACCAGUAAAAUCUCAGGGCAUCAACCGCCUAGCUAGCAGAGUAAACCCGGGAGGGGGGGGGGUGUCGCCUCCAAAAGAGGAUCUCAUCAACACCAACAACAAUAACACUAUUGAACGACGUCCACUCGCAAGCAACCCGCAACAACGCUCCAAGCUCGAACCAACUCCAAUCUCAAGUUGUCCAGUGAAGCGCCAAGCUUCAAAUAUCGUAACGGGGGCGUAGAAAGAGAGAGAGAGGGCAAAAGGUCGCCAAAGUAGGGACACCGCAUAAAAUAAGGCUCAUUUUAUCAGAGUUAAGUCUGCUACACUAACAUACAAGGAACUAAGUCAUCCAAAUCGAUGCCGGAGAAGAAACAAGGCCUAGACACUAUAAAUGUCGCGAGUCUAUGGAAAGAACUAGUCUAAGCCUAUACUAAGGCCAAAGAUGCUCAAUUAUACAAUCACAACAACAUACAAGUCAAAACACAAGAUAAGGAUAAACACAUAACCCCAGCUAGCAUGGUUCUAAUCCCGAAAUAAUGUCAAUCAAGCCUAAAACAUGGUUUCUAUGAAAUGAAAUAAGAACAACUAGGUACCCGCCCAAAUUGACUCUAGUCAACAUAUGUUCACACAUUCAAGCUCAAUCUAGGAGACGGAAAGUCAUAGCCUACCUUAAGGAUGACCGCACGUGCUCCAAAUCACAUGUCCCGAGCUUUUCCUUUACGAACAACCUCAGAAUGCAGCCCCGCUAUUAAAAAUAGGAUCACAAUGUUAAUACGAUCGUUUAGACACCAAAACCAUAUAAAACAAAGACGGAUCAAUUUUGGAAUCAAACGGAAAUCAUGGGACCAAUGCCAGAACUUCUGGAUCGACUCAGUCAAAAGGUCUUAAAUAGUACCCCAAACUUGUGUUCCAAAAUGGAACACAAUUCGGACCUCGAAACAACAAGAACAAACAACAUGCGACAAUUUCACCAUUAAAGACAACAACUAAGCUAAGGUACCCUACAAUUGCACGAAUUUACCUCAAAUGAGAGACGCCUAACACUUUUUUAUCACACCACUGCAUAGACCCAAGCUCCACAAAUACACCGGACUUCGAAUUGCUGCAAUUGAAGCUCUAAAGAGGGAUGAAUCUCUAAAACUCAAGCGACCACUUAUGUCACUUAAGUGACUGGCCUGCAAGAGGUGUGCCUUGCUUCCACGAGCCCAUGGUCGCUAAAGCGAGGCUAGCUAAAACAACAUUAGGGUCGCGAAAGAACCAUGGCCUGGACUGCUAAGCUCUCUUAAGCGAUCCCUUGGACGUAAAGCGAUAUCCGCUUAAACAAUGAUAGAGCUGCUAAAGCGGCUUCCACCUAGUUGGCCUAGCUUGCUAAAACGGAGCCUUGGAUGCUAAAGCGAAGGUCGCUUAAACGAGCCCAAGGUCGUAAAAGCGAGUGACACUAACAUUAGGUACCAACAAAAAUCAGCUUAGUUUUGUUCGGAACCCCGUACACACAAAAGAGAUAUACAACCCAAUCAAAUUCGACAUUUUCAGACUCAAAGGAGUAGUCAACUUCUAUACAAGGUUGUCUUGACAAAAAAGUGGGUCCCACACCCAAACUCCAGUUUAAGCCAAAAUCCACAAAGGGGCUCAGAAUUUGCCUGGGAGCCUCGAGAUCCGCACGGAGGGUUGUUCUUGACCAAACUCAGCAUUUCGGAGCUAACCCCGCUAGUGAAAUUCUUAGCCAGGAAUGUUUACCAAAAAUCUAGAGAGAAAGAUCCAAGUGCAAAUAUUGUGUCAAGCUGAUCCAGGUAUAGCAAGAUAGUUCUCGUCUUCUUCUUCUACCUACUUUCCUUUAUAGCACUUUUAGCCUUGAAAAGAUAUUCAAUGUUGACCAAGGUCAAACUUAGGCCAUAACUUGAAAGUAAAAACACCUAAUCGCACAAAGUCGCACGAAAGCCUUGGGAGUCAUGCUGACCAUUUUACUAGCCUAAAAUAACCCUUUCAGAGAUGAUGGAAUCGUCAGAAUUGGAUUCUGAGGUCAUUUUCCCAAAAUUUUGAUCGAAAAUGACCGUUCAAGGUUUAAAAUCUCCAAAACACAGAAAUUCGCAUAAAACCCAAAGGAACGACCAGGUGACCAAACUGUUAAUCCCAGCAAGUCAUAAAUGACUUGGGAUCGCUAUACGAAGUCUCUAACGACGAACAAAAGGCAUUAACACAUAAAUAAACUAGAGGGUCAUUACAACAUCCACUACUAAAAGGACUUUCAUUCGCGAAAGUAAGAGUCAAGAAGUACCUGAAGGCUCAAACAAGCCAGGAAACUACUCUCACAUCACAUGCUCGGUCUUUCAGGUAGCUUGCUCAACUAGACGAUUCCUCCAAUAGAUCUUCAUGAUAGGAAGACUCUCAAACGCAACCGUCGCACAUCUUUGGCUAGAAUAUCGUUUGAUCUCGUUUCUUCUCCUUUGUUGGGUUUUGUUUUUUCUUCGGAAGGGUGACACUUUUCUACGUCGGAGUUGCAUUCGUCUUGGGCGGCAGAGUUUGAGUUAAAAUAUUAAAACUUGGAGGCUCUAUUUCAACAUUAGAUACAUCCUCUACAAAUCUCAUACUCUUUCUAGGUGUAUGGUGAACUUUUUUAUUCUUUGGCAUGUUUGUUUAUAACCGAACCUUUUGAUUCUUCACAAUGUGUACAAGAUUUGUGGAGGCUUUCAUUUGAAUGGAUAAGAAGAACAAUGAAGAAGUUGAGAGAGAAAGAGUGAUGACCGCGGGGAGAAAGAGAAGUGUGGGUAUGUGGGAGUAGGGAUGGAGGGUGACGUGUGAUAAGUUAAGAAAAUCCCUUGAAAGGUGUAAUUGAUAAUUAUCAAUUGAUUCUCUCCCAUUAAUGUUAUUUCUCUGACCUAUUAAUUAUAAUAACAUUAUAUAAUUACUUAAUAAAAUGUACUUAAUUAAUUAAAAAAAUUAAAAUUGAUAUGUUAAUUCUUGUAAUUAAAACUUUAUAAGUAGUAAUUAAAAAAAAUAUAGAUAUAAAGGCUGUAACAUUAACCCUUUAAUAGAUGUAUGGUGAUUUUUUCAUUUGUAAA
RNAcentral lists this long non-coding RNA (3763 nucleotides) under Solanum tuberosum (potato). Its description in RNAcentral is "long non-coding RNA (STUB_LNC005632)". Lineage: Eukaryota; Viridiplantae; Streptophyta; Magnoliopsida; Solanales; Solanaceae. The record is from RNAcentral.